UCCAGACUCCUACGGGAGGCAGCAGUGGGGAAUAUUGCACAAUGGGGGAAACCCUGAUGCAGCAACGCCGCGUGAGUGAAGAAGUAUUUCGGUAUGUAAAGCUCUCUCAGCAGGGAAGAAAAUGACGGUACCUGAGUAAGAAGCCCCGGCUAACUACGUGCCAGCAGCCGCGGUAAUACGUAGGGGGCAAGCGUUAUCCGGAUUUACUGGGUGUAAAGGGAGCGUAGACGGCGAUACAAGUCUGAAGUGAAAGCCCGGGGCUCAACCCCGGGACUGCUUUGGAAACUGGCGCGCUGGAGUGCCGGAGGGGUAGGCGGAAUUCCUAGUGUAGCGGUGAAAUGCGUAGAUAUUAGGAGGAACACCAGUGGCGAAGGCGGCCUACUGGACGGUGACUGACGCUGAGGCUCGAAAGCGUGGGGAGCAAACAGGAUUAGAUACCCGUGUA
RNAcentral lists this ribosomal RNA (445 nucleotides) under uncultured bacterium. RNAcentral's name for it is "bacterial SSU rRNA". It matches the Rfam family "Bacterial small subunit ribosomal RNA", at positions 330 to 792 of the family's 1533-position model. The record is from RNAcentral.